CCUACGGGAGGCAGCAGUGGGGGAUAUUGGACAAUGGGGGGAACCCUGAUCCAGCGACGCCGCGUGAGUGAAGAAGUAUCUCGGUAUGUAAAGCUCUAUCAGCAGGGAAGAAGAAAUGACGGUACCUGAGUAAGAAGCCCCGGCUAACUACGUGCCAGCAGCCGCGGUAAUACGUAGGGGGCAAGCGUUAUCCGGAUUUACUGGGUGUAAAGGGAGCGUAGACGGAAAGGCAAGUCAGAAGUGAAAGCCCAAGGCUCAACCAUGGGACUGCUUUUGAAACUGUCAAACUAGAGUACGGGAGAGGUAAGAGGAAUUCCUAGUGUAGCGGUGAAAUGCGUAGAUAUUAGGAGGAACACCAGUGGCGAAGGCGUCUUACUGGACCGAAACUGACGUUGAGGCUCGAAAGCGUGGGGAGCAAACAGGAUUAGAUACCCCUGUAGUC
This 442-nucleotide ribosomal RNA is filed under the name uncultured bacterium. RNAcentral's name for it is "partial 16S ribosomal RNA". It matches the Rfam family "Bacterial small subunit ribosomal RNA", at positions 338 to 795 of the family's 1533-position model. The record is from RNAcentral.